UUCCGGUUGAUCCUGCCGGAGGCGACCGCUUUGGGAGUUCGAUUAAGCCAUGCGAGUCGUGAGUCUUAGGGACUCGGCAUACUGCUCAGUAACACGUGGAUAACCUGCCCUAUCGUCUGGAAUAACCUCGGGAAACUGAGAAUAAGGCCGGAUAGUUCACAAUGCCUGGAACGGUUUGUGAAUCAAGGUAGGAUGGGUCUGCGGCGUAUCAGGUUGUAGGGGGUGUAAAGGACCCCCUAGCCUUCGACGCGUACGGGUGUUGGGAGACAUAGCCCGGAGAUGGAUUCUGAGACACGAAUCCAGACCCUACGGGGUGCAGCAGGCGCGAAAACUUCACACUGCAGGAAACUGUGAUGAGGGAACUCCUAGUGCAUGCACUAUGUGUAUGUAGAUCCUACUCUUAACAAGUAGAGGGAAAGGGCUGGGAAAGACCGGUGCCAGCCGCCGCGGUAAUACCGGCAGCUCAAGUGGUCGUCGCUUUUAUUGGGCCUAAAACGUCCGUAGCCUGUUUGGUAAAUCUGUGGGUAAAUCAAUCCGCUCAACGGAUUGAAUUCUGCAGAGACUGCCAGACUAGGGACCGGGAGAGGUGUGGGGUACUCGAGGGGUAGGGGUAAAAUCCUGUCAUCYCUCGAGGACCACCAGUUGCGAAGGCGCCACACUGGAACGGAUCCGACGGUCAGGGACGAAGCCUAGGGGCACGAACCGGAUUAGAUACCCGGGUAGUCCUAGGUGUAAACGCUGUGAACUUGGUGUCGGGGGUCCGCAAGGGGUCCCCGGUGCCGGAGUGAAGAUGUUAAGUUCACUGCCUGGGGAGUACGGUCGCAAGGCUGAAACUUAAAGGAAUUGGCGGGGCAGCAC
RNAcentral lists this ribosomal RNA (858 nucleotides) under uncultured euryarchaeote. RNAcentral's name for it is "bacterial SSU rRNA". It matches the Rfam family "Archaeal small subunit ribosomal RNA", at positions 1 to 879 of the family's 1478-position model. Lineage: Archaea; Methanobacteriati; Methanobacteriota. The record is from RNAcentral.